UGGGGAAUUUUGGACAAUGGGCGAAAGCCUGAUCCAGCAAUGCCGCGUGUGCGAAGAAGGCCUUCGGGUUGUAAAGCACUUUUACCAGGAACGAAAAGUUUGGCUCUAAUAAAGUCGGACGAUGACGGUACCUGGAGAAUAAGCACCGGCUAACUACGUGCCAGCAGCCGCGGUAAUACGUAGGGUGCAAGCGUUAAUCGGAAUUACUGGGCGUAAAGCGUGCGCAGGCGGUUGUGUAAGACAGAUGUGAAAUCCCCGGGCUUAACCUGGGAAUUGCAUUUGUGACUGCACGACUAGAGUGUGUCAGAGGGGGGUGGAAUUCCACGUGUAGCAGUGAAAUGCGUAGAUAUGUGGAGGAACACCAAUGGCGAAGGCAGCCCCCUGGGAUAACACUGACGCUCAUGCACGAAAGCGUGGGGAGCAAACAGGAUUAGAUACCCUGGUAGUCCACGCCCUAAACGAUGUCAACUAGUUGUUGGGGAUUUACUUCCUUGGUAACGUAGCUAACGCGUGAAGUUGACCGCCUGGGGAGUACGGCCGCAAGGUUA
This 548-nucleotide ribosomal RNA is filed under the name uncultured bacterium. RNAcentral's name for it is "bacterial SSU rRNA". It matches the Rfam family "Bacterial small subunit ribosomal RNA", at positions 355 to 896 of the family's 1533-position model. The record is from RNAcentral.